Molecule: microRNA precursor, 76 nt
Filed under: Myotis lucifugus (little brown bat)
Lineage: Eukaryota; Metazoa; Chordata; Mammalia; Chiroptera; Vespertilionidae
Description: mir-9229 microRNA precursor family
Rfam family: mir-9229 microRNA precursor family
Source: Rfam by way of RNAcentral
GAGACACCCUUCUGGGGCAAGACUUGCUUCAAUGGGGCUUUGGUGCUCACUUAGUCUUCCCCCUGGGUGUGUCCCU